RNAcentral lists this long non-coding RNA (1681 nucleotides) under Mytilus galloprovincialis (Mediterranean mussel). The record is from RNAcentral. Lineage: Eukaryota; Metazoa; Mollusca; Bivalvia; Mytilida; Mytilidae.
UCCUGUGAGAUCCACAUUACACGCAAUGAACCGAUACAUAUUAGGACACCCUUUAGGUUGUACGAGAGCGAUGGAUGAUGAACAGCAUAUACGACAGACUGAGAAUAAGACUUGAUGAUGUUGAGAAUGGAAAUUUGGAAUAUAUUUAAGAGACAAUAACACGACCAAAGACCAGAAAACAGCUGAAGGACACCCAUGGUUCUUCCACACAGAAAAAAAAUCUCGCAACCGGUGGCGGGCUUCAGAUGGUCCCUAGAUAAGAAUAUGUGCUAGUUCAGUGAAAAUGGACGUCAUGCUUACCUACAAAUGAAUGAACUAAUUGAGAACGGAAAAGAACAACGGAUGUGGAAAGUCUGCAAGAAUGCUAGAGAUUUGAAGAUCUGCCAAAGAAGAAUGUAUGCCACCCCUUUCCGACCAACAACGCAUAUGGAGAUCUUGUCAGACGAAGAAGAAAACCAUCUAGGAUGUAAACUAAAGUGAUAAUAACCUUCGUGUUACCAUGAAUGCAACAGGAUGAGGAUGAACAUAUAGAGCAGACACAGAAGACAUAAAAACAGUUAAAAGAGAAGAGUAAAAGUGCCAAGAAUAUAAAGAUCAAGUGGCUAACGAAUGCAGACAAAACAACUUGGAAAUCUUUUGAUGAAGAUCUCUAAAGCAUCUUAGAUGCAACAUUCAAGGUACAUGAAGGUAGAAUGAUGAGAGCCAUUGCGCCCAUUCUUUACCGUGUAAUAAAUAUAAAUGGACUAAUAGCUUCCGAAAAAUAAAGAGAGCACACAAGAUUAGAGAAACUAUAUGCAAAAGGAAAGCAAGGACUUGAGAGGAGACAUAAAAGGAUAAGUAGUUAUAGAGUCUUUGAUGAGGAGGAAAGAUUACAUAUGCAACAGUUGAGGACAGAAACAAUGGAGGAAUUGAAGACACUAACUACAGCCGAGACUUGCAGAAGAGACAGAGAGAAAUAGAGAAAUAGAAUUGCGCAAUUCACAGCAAACCUUUUGAAGUACAUUGUAUAUGAAGAGAUUAUUUAAUGUGCGAAACUGGAAACUACAGAUGAAUCAAAAGAACAAUUAGACGAGUUCAGAGAAAUACAGGACGUUCUAAAAGAUACAGGAAUGUUUGUGUACACAUCGUUGAAAACAAUUGAAAACUAAAAAUCCAAAACGUGGAGCCAAAUUCGGCUAACGUUAGGAAGGUCUAAGAUAUAAAAAAAAAUAUGAUUCAAAUGACUUUAGAAAUAUAUAAACAGUAUGAGAUCAAUGACUUUACUGGUCUCGUGAUACCCUUGAAAUGUAUAUCAACGAUGACAUCGAUAAAGUGGAUUUAUAAACUCGUCAAAUCACAAGGUUUAUGAUUCAACUGUUACAUCCAAAGCGUGUCUUGUGUAUAUAAGACUAAACAGUAGCGCUCAAACAAACAAAAUGAAGACAAAUUCAAUGAGAUGUUGAAAAAUAAUUCGCAACCAAAAGUUCUAAAAGUUUUGUUAAAUCAAAGGCCUGGCAAAUCUAUGCAUGGAGUAAAAAAAAAAAGCCGUUAGUAUUUCGAAUGACUCACAUUUGAAACCAUUGAUAACAUAAUAAUUGCAAUUAAUAUUCCAUUUUGAAAUAUUUUUUCCGUCUAUUCGAAAAAACCUAAAAACUUAUUUGUACCAUGUUUAAUACUAUUUGAGUGUCUGCUGUUCCUUUUU